UUACUAUGCUGGCAAAUUAUAGGCUUGUUUCUCAAAACAUUCGCAGUUGCCGCCUGAGAGCUUUUGCCUUGCCAUGCUUGACAGCUUGUGCUGCUCAGUUCUUUCUUGGAUGUCUAAGAAA
Molecule: small nucleolar RNA, 121 nt
Organism: Zingiber officinale
Lineage: Eukaryota; Viridiplantae; Streptophyta; Magnoliopsida; Zingiberales; Zingiberaceae
Product: small nucleolar RNA SNORD14
Exons: 1
Source: RefSeq, a predicted model, not a curated record